This 440-nucleotide ribosomal RNA is filed under the name uncultured bacterium. Its description in RNAcentral is "partial 16S ribosomal RNA". It matches the Rfam family "Bacterial small subunit ribosomal RNA", at positions 338 to 795 of the family's 1533-position model. The record is from RNAcentral.
CCUACGGGAGGCUGCAGUGGGGGAUAUUGCACAAUGGGGGGAACCCUGAUGCAGCGACGCCGCGUGGGUGAAGAAGCGCCUCGGCGCGUAAAGCCCUGUCAGCAGGGAAGAAAAUGACGGUAACUGAAGAAGAAGCCCCGGCCAACUACGUGCCAGCCGCCGCGGUAAGACGUAGGGGGCAAGCGUUAGCCGGAUGUACUGGGUGUAAAGGGGGCGCAGACGGCGAUGCAAGCCAGGAGUGAAAGCCCGGGGCCCAACCCCGGGACUGCGCUUGGAACUGCGUGGCUGGGGUGAGGGAGGGGCAGGCGGAAUUCCUGGUGUAGCGGUGAAAUGCGUAGAUAUCAGGAGGAACACCGGUGGCGAAGGCGGCCUGCUGGACUGCAACUGACGUUGAGGCCCGAAAGCGUGGGGAGCGAACAGGAUUAGAUACCCGAGUAGUC